RNAcentral lists this ribosomal RNA (709 nucleotides) under Salmonella enterica subsp. enterica serovar Barranquilla. RNAcentral describes it as "partial 23S ribosomal RNA". It matches the Rfam family "Bacterial large subunit ribosomal RNA", at positions 480 to 1190 of the family's 2925-position model. Lineage: Bacteria; Pseudomonadati; Pseudomonadota; Gammaproteobacteria; Enterobacterales; Enterobacteriaceae. The record is from RNAcentral.
CUGACCGAUAGUGAACCAGUACCGUGAGGGAAAGGCGAAAAGAACCCCGGCGAGGGGAGUGAAAAAGAACCUGAAACCGUGUACGUACAAGCAGUGGGAGCACCCUUUGGGGUGUGACUGCGUACCUUUUGUAUAAUGGGUCAGCGACUUAUAUUCUGUAGCAAGGUUAACCGAAUAGGGGAGCCGGAGGGAAACCGAGUCUUAACCGGGCGUUAAGUUGCAGGGUAUAGACCCGAAACCCGGUGAUCUAGCCAUGGGCAGGUUGAAGGUUGGGUAACACUAACUGGAGGACCGAACCGACUAAUGUUGAAAAAUUAGCGGAUGACCUGUGGCUGGGGGUGAAAGGCCAAUCAAACCGGGAGAUAGCUGGUUCUCCCCGAAAGCUAUUUAGGUAGCGCCUCGUGAAUUCAUCUCCGGGGGUAGAGCACUGUUUCGGCUAGGGGGCCAUCCCGGCUUACCAACCCGAUGCAAACUGCGAAUACCGGAGAAUGUUAUCACGGGAGACACACGGCGGGUGCUAACGUCCGUCGUGAAGAGGGAAACAACCCAGACCGCCAGCUAAGGUCCCAAAGUCAUGGUUAAGUGGGAAACGAUGUGGGAAGGCCCAGACAGCCAGGAUGUUGGCUUAGAAGCAGCCAUCAUUUAAAGAAAGCGUAAUAGCUCACUGGUCGAGUCGGCCUGCGCGGAAGAUGUAACGGGGCUAAACCAU